Long non-coding RNA from Dama dama (fallow deer), 6027 nucleotides. RefSeq lists it as uncharacterized. NCBI's taxonomy places the organism in Eukaryota, Metazoa, Chordata, Mammalia, Artiodactyla, Cervidae. The record is from RefSeq and is a predicted model, not a curated record. The transcript has 5 exons.
UCGGGAGACCCCCUGAGGGCCGCGUUCGGGGAAGAGGCCGCGCCGGCUACGGCGUCUCCAUCCUCCUAACCGCCGAGGCGGCCCGAGCGCGGCCCAGAGGACGGAGCGACUGACUCCCGGCCGGCCCCCGCAUCCCGGAGAGGAAUGCCUUCCCAGGUUUGGACAGUCUUCCAAGAACAACAGAAAAUGAGCAAAUGCCAGAAGUGUGCUGGCCAAGGACCCAUGUCAUUCAAGGACAUGACUGUGGACUUCACCCAGGAUGAGUGGUGACAACUGACCAGUAUCAGAGGACCCUAUACUGGGAUGUGAUGCUGGAGAACUACAGCCACCUGGUCUCUGUGGGGUACUGCAUUGCCAAACCAGAGGUGAUCAUCAAGCUGGAGCAAGGAGAAGAGCUGUGGCCAUUAGAGAGAAUUCCCAGGCUGGAGUGGUCCAGACAAAAGCCAUCAAGUCGGGUCCGGCUCUUUUUAACCCCACCGACUGUAGCCUGCCAGGCUCCUCUGUCCAUGGGAUUCUCCAGGCAAGAAUUCUGGAGUGGAUUGCUAUAACCUUCUCCAGAGGAUCUUCCCAACCCAGGGAUUGAACCCUAAUCUCCUGCAUUGCAGGCAGAUUCUUUACCAUUUGAGCUACAGGGAAGUGCUAAAUCUCAUCCCACCAUCCCUGGGUGGACAGAAUGAUCUCUGUUCACUUCCAAGGCAAACCAUUCAAUAUCACAUUAAUCCAAGUCUAUGCCCCAACCAAUAAUGCUGAAGAAGCUGAAGUUGAACGGUUCUAUGAAGACCUACAAGACCUUUCAGAACCAACCAAAAAAUAAGAUGUCCUUUUCAUUAUAGGGGACUGGAAUGCAAAAGUAGGAAGUCAAGAGAUACCUGGAAUAACAGGCAAAUUUGGCUUUGGAAUACAGAAUGAAGCAGGGCAAAGGCUAACAGAAUUUUGUGAAGAGAAUGCACUGGUCAUAGCAAACACCCUCUUGCAACAACACAAGAGAAGACUACACAUCACCAGAUGGUGAAUACCAAAAUCAGACUGAUUAUAUUCCUAGCAGCCAAAGAUGAAGAAGAUCUGUAUAGUCAGCAAAGACAAGACCGGGAGCCGACUGUGGCUCAGGUCGCGAACUCCUUAUUGCCAAAUUCAGACUUAAAUUGAAAAAGUAGGGAAAACCACUAGCCCAUUCAGGUAUGACCUAAAUCAAAUCCCUUAUGAUUAUACAGUGGAAGUGACAAAUAGAUUCAAGGGAUUAGAUCUGAUAGACAAGAGUGCCUGAUGAACUAUGGAUGGAGGUUCAUGACAUUGUACAGGAGGCAGGGAUCAAGAUCAUCCCCAAGAAAAAGAAAUGCAAAAAAGGCAAAAUGAGGAGGCCUUACAAAUAGCUGAGAAAAGAAGAGAAGCAAAAGGCAAAGGAGAAAAGGAAAGAUAUACCUGUUUGAAUGCAGAGUUCCAAAGAAUAGCAAGGAAAGGUAAGAAAGCCUUCCUCAGUGAUCAAUGCAAAGGAAUAAGAGGAAAAAAUAGAACAGAAAAGACUAGAGGUCUCUUCAAGAAAAUCAGAGAUAUCAAGGGAACAUUUCAUGCAAAGAUGGACACAAUAAAAGACAGAAAUGGUAUGGACCUAAAAGAAACAGAAGAUGUUAAGAGGUGGUAAGAAUACACAGAAGAACUAUACAAAAAAGAUCUUCAUGACCCAGAUAACCACAGUGGUGUGAUCAUUCAUCUAGAGUGAGACAUCCUGGAAUGUGAAGUGGGCCUUAGGAAGCAUCACUAUGAAAAAGCUAGUGGAGGGGAUGGAAUUCCAGUUGGGCUAUUUCAAAUCCUAAAAGAUGAUGCUGUGGAGGUGCUGCACAUAAUAUGCCAGCAAAUUUGGAAAACUCAGCAGUGGCCACAGGACUGGAAAAGGUCAGUUUUCAUUCCAAUCCCAAAGAAAGGCAAUGACAAAGAAUGUUCAAAUGAUCGCACAACUGCACUCAUAUCACACGCUAGCAAAGUAAUGCUCAAAAUGCUGCAAGCCAGGCGUCAACAAUAUGUGAACUGUGAACUUCCAAAUGUUCAAGCUGGAUUUAGAAAAGUCAGAGGAACCAGAGAUCAAAUUGCCAACAUCCAUUGGAUUAUCAAAAAAGCAAGAAAGUUCCAGAAAAACAUCUGUUUUAUUGAGUACACCAAAGCCUUUGACUGUGUGGAUCACAACAAACUGUGGAAAAUUCUUAAAGAGAUGGGAAUACUAGACCACCUGACCUGCCUCCUGAGAAAUCUGUAUGCAGGUCAAGAAGCAACAGUUAGAACUGGACAUGGAACAACAGACUGGUUCCAAAUCAGGAAAGGAGUACGUCAAGGCUGUAUAUUGUCACCCUGCUUAUUUAACUUGUAUGCAGAGUACAUCAUGUGAAAUGCUGGGCUGGAUGAAGCACAAGCUGGAAUCAAUAUUGCCUGGAGAAAUAUCAAUAACCUCAUAUAUGCAGAUGACACCACUCUUACGGCAGAAAGCAAAGAAGAACUAAAGAGCCUCUUGGUGAAAGUGAAAGAGGAGAGUGAACAAGUUGGCUUAAAAUUCAAUAUUCGGAAAAAAAAACAAAACUCAAUAUUCGGAAAACUAAGGUCAUGGCAUCUGGUCCCAUCACUUCAUGGCAAAUAGAUGGGAAAACAGUGUGAGACUUUAAUUUUUUGGGUUCCCAAAUCACUGCAGAUGGUGACUGCAGCCAUGAAAUUAAAAGACACUUGCUCCUUGGAAGAAAAGCUAUGACCAACCUAGACAGCAUAUCAAAUUAAAGCAGAGACAUUUCUUUGCCAACAAAAGUCCAUCUAGUCAAAGCUAUGGUUUUUUCAGUAGUCAUGUAUGGAUGUGAGAGUUGGACUAUUAAGAAAGCUGAAUGCCAAAGAAUUGAUGCUUUUGAACUGUGGUGUUGGAGAAGACUCUUGAGAGUCCCUUGGACUGCAAGGAGAUCCAUCCUGAAUAUUCAUUGGAAGGACUAAUGCUGAAGCUGAAGCUCCCAUCCUUUGGCCACCUGAUGCGAAAAACUGACUCAUUUGAAAAGACCAUGAUGCUGGGAAAGAUUGAGGGCAGGAGGAGAAGGGAACGAAGAGCAUGAGGUGGUUGGAUGGUUCUACGGACAUGAGUUUGACUAAACUCCGGGAGUUGGUGAUGAACAGGGAAGCCUGGCAUGAUAAAAAUGUUUCAGAUAAGAACUCUGAUGAAAUUAAUACAUGUCAGAAGUUGCUUCUUGAUAAUAAUUAAGAGGAUACUCAGCCUGGGAAGCAAUCCAACAACCAUAACCAAGAUGGGAGACCCCUGAGUCAUAACGAGGACCCUUGUGGGCAACAGAAGAUUCAGCUUUGGGGACCACCUGUGGAAGGUCAUGAACGCAGAGCAGCCACCUCCAGUGAGACAGUCACCAUCCCACCACAGAAAACUCAAACAGAAGAGAGGACCAAGGAUUAUGAGGAACAGGGAGGGGCAAGACACUAGUGACAAGUCAGCUAACAAAAUCCAGCAGGAAAUGCACAAGGGAGAAUCACUCUGAAGUUAAUGCAUGUGAGACAUCAACCCUCUUUCAACAUCAGGAAAUUAAUGUAAAGAAAACCCACAAAUUUCUUGGAAAUUUGAGAAUAAUUUCAGCAAGAAGUCCCAUCUUAACCUCAUAAAACUCAAAGAGAGAAAAUAUUUGAAUGUAGUCACCGCAAGAAAUCUUUUUACCAGGAGUCCCACCUCACUGAACAUCAGAAAACACACACAAGAAGAAGAGCCAUGUGACAAUAAUAAAUGUGGGAAAACCUUCCAGAAAGCACAAAACAUCCAGCAAAGAACUGAUGUAAGAAAGAAAACCUGUGAAUGUGACAAAGCCCCCGGGAAGUCAGCCAUUACCGAGCAGCAAAAGAAGCUCUAUGUAUGUGAUGAGUGCAAGAAAUCCUUCCAUCAGAUCUCAAGUCCUAAAGCUGAGCCAGAGUACUCACACGAGAGAAGCCCUACCAGUGUAAGGAUUGUGGGAAAUCCUACACAAAAUCAAACUUCAACUAUCACCAGAGCAUUCCCACAGGGGAGAAAACAUGAGUGUAAGGAUUGUGGGAAAUCUUUCUGUGUGAAAUCAAAUCUAACUAAACUUCAGAAGAUACUUACAGGGGAGAAAUCUUUCAAAUGCAAUGACAUGGGAAAACUUACUCACAGAGGUCACAAUUUGCUGAUCACCACAGAACACACACAGGGGAGAAGCCCUGCAAAUGUGAUGAAUGUGGAAAAUCCUUCUGUUUGAUGUAAGUCAGCACUGCACCUCCACCAGAGGUGAAGAAGAAACCAGAGAAGAACAGAAGAAACCACAGAAGAAACCCUAUAAAUGUACUGAAUAUGGGACAUCCUUCUGCUCUAAGUCAGCCCUAAUUAUUCAUCAAGUCUCUCAUACAGCAAAGUAACCCUAUGACUAAUGAAUGUGGAAAAACCUUCUGUGUGAAGUCUAUAAUCUCAUUAAACAUCAUAAAAUUCACUCAGGGUUGAAACCAUAUGAAUGUAACGAGUGUGGCAAAUCCUUCUCUAUGAAUUUGACUCUCACUGUCCAUCAAAGAACUCAUACUGGGGAGAGACCCCAUGGGUGCAGUGAAUGUGAGAAGUCCUUCUACAAAAAGUCAAACAUCAGAAACACACAGGGGAGAAACCACACAAAUGUAAUGAAUGUGGGAAAGCUUUCUGUAUAAAGUCAACCCUCAUUAUACACCAGCAGACUCACACUGGGGAGAAAUCCUUUAAAUGCAAUGAAUGCAAGAAGUCAUUCUAUGUGAAGUUGCUUCUUAAUAUUCAUCAGAGAAACCACACAGGAAAGAAAUCCCAUGUGUGUAAAGUAUGUGGGAAAGCCUUUUCUAUGAAGUCAAGUCAGAAGAGAAAUACUUCAAAUGUAAUAAAUGUGAGAAGUCAACCCUCAGCACCAGAGAAUACACACGGGAGAAACCUUAAAAAUGUAAAGAAUGUAGUAAAACUUUCUUUCAGAAGUCACACCACACUUAACAUCAGUGAACACACACAGGAAGAAACCUUAUCUAUGUAAACAAUGUGGGAAAAAUUUCCUCCAGAAAUCACAUCUCAUUGAACAUCAGAGCACACUGGAGAGAAACCCCAUCGGUGUAGUAAAUGUGUAAAAUUUUUCUGUUUUAAGUCAGCCCUAACCAUGUAUUAGAGGACUCACACAGAAGAGAAGGCUUAUAAAUGUAGUGAAUGUGAGAAACCUUUCUGCAUGAAGUCAUACCUCACUGUGCAUCAGAGAACUCACAUAGGGAAGAACCCCUUCAAAUGUAAUGAAUGUGGGCAAAGGUUUUAUGUGAAGUCAGACCUCAUUAAUCAUCAGAGAAUCCACACAGGGGAGAAGCCCUAUGAAUAUGAGAUGCGGGAAGUCCUUCUGUAUGAAGUCAAUCCGCAGAGUACACCAGCAAACACCACAGGGGAGAAGCCUUAUGAAUAUAACAUACAUGGGAAAUCCUUCUGCAAGAAGUAAACUCUAAAUAUGAAGUGAUUCACACACAAGAGAUAUCCUGAAUGGCAGCAGAUGUGAAAAAUCCUCCAGUAUAGAGUCAUAAUGUGUCAUACCUUUGUGAAUUCAUGGGAGAAAACUUGAGCUUAUGUACAUCAGAGAACACAUUAGGAGAGAGGUUCUCCAAGAAUGUUAUUUGUGGAGAUGGAGUGGAAGCAAGGUUUCUUUGAUUUUACCUUUUUAUGAAUUUUUGAACUUUGAACAAAUGAGUGGUUUACAUAUUCAAAAGUAAAAAUAGAAGAUUCUGAAAUUGAAAUCAACUUAAUAUCAAAUUGGCAACUUGACCACACAAAAGUAAUUCUUUGAAGAAACUCUGCACUCCAUGUUAUGAUUAUACAUCUUUAAUGGAAAGUGUUUAAGGACAAAAACGCCAGCCAAAAAUUAUAAAAUCACUCAUCAAUUUUCUUCCGGAUAAUAUUGCUGUUUAUUUGAAUCUGUUUUGUGUACAUUGUAGGAGAAAGCUAAAAUAAAUUAUAAAAGUUACUAGGAAUCAAAACUUCCAGUUUAAGAGAUAAGACAACUACAGAAA